ACGAAGGGUGCAAGCGUUACUCGGAAUUACUGGGCGUAAAGGGUGCGUAGGUGGUUUUUUAAGUCUGCUGUGAAAUCCCCGGGCUCAACCUGGGAAUGGCAGUGGAUACUGGCGAGCUGGAGUGCGGUAGAGGAAGGUGGAAUUCCCGGUGUAGCGGUGAAAUGCGUAGAGAUCGGGAGGAACACCAGUGGCGAAGGCGGCCUUCUGGACCAGCACUGACACUCAAGCACGAAAGCGUGGGGAGCAAACAGGA
This 253-nucleotide ribosomal RNA is filed under the name uncultured prokaryote. Its description in RNAcentral is "partial 16S ribosomal RNA". It matches the Rfam family "Bacterial small subunit ribosomal RNA", at positions 525 to 777 of the family's 1533-position model. The record is from RNAcentral.